CUUUCAGAGCUUCGCAAUUCCAGCUUCUUGAACUCUCAUCUUGGGCAAAAGGACUCGGCCAAAAUAUGAAGAUCUUUGUCUUUACCUUUAUCGUGGCUCUCAUGGUUGCCAUGAUUAGUGCUGAUUCUUCAUCUGAAGAGAAACGUUACCGUAGAAACAGAUUCGAUGGAGGGUAUUAUCCAUACCCACAGUAUCCACAGUAUCCACAGUAUCCACCCAAUUAUCCAUAUCCCUAUCCAUAUCCAUAUCCCUAUGCAGGAAAGUAAUAAUCACAGGACAGAUGACAGAGGCUUGGUGAGAAGUCUUCUUUGCUCUCUCCUUAUGAUGAUUUUUCUUACUCAAAAACCCUUUGACACAUCUAGCAACAUAAUAACCUGCUUACAAUAAAUACAUCCAAAGUGCUUCAGAAAGCAUAUUUUAUCAAACAAUUUAAAAAGUAGAGAGUAUUUGUAUUCUCUCAGGCAUUAGAUUGGAAUUUAAAAACAAACUGGCCAAUAAAUAAUUUUUCUGUGUACAAAUUCCAGCUUAAAAAAAAUAGUAUUACAUGAACAACAAUUUCUGGAGAUCAAUGAUCAAUAGUUGCAACAUAGUAGUAAUGACAUUCUCUGGACUAUCUGAUGGUUUUCUGUUUUACU
Molecule: long non-coding RNA, 635 nt
Organism: Myotis daubentonii (Daubenton's bat)
Lineage: Eukaryota; Metazoa; Chordata; Mammalia; Chiroptera; Vespertilionidae
Source: RefSeq, a predicted model, not a curated record